UGAAUUGCAGAAUCCCGUGAACCAUCGAGUCUUUGAACGCAAGUUGCGCCUGAAGCCAUUAGGCCAAGGGCACGUCUGCCUGGGCGUCACGCAUCGCGUCACCCCCCCCCCCUCCAUUUGUGUGGGAUGGGGUG
Molecule: ribosomal RNA, 134 nt
Filed under: Embadium johnstonii
Lineage: Eukaryota; Viridiplantae; Streptophyta; Magnoliopsida; Boraginales; Boraginaceae
Description: 5.8S ribosomal RNA
Rfam family: 5.8S ribosomal RNA (bases 1-89)
About the family: 5.8S ribosomal RNA (5.8S rRNA) is a component of the large subunit of the eukaryotic ribosome. It is transcribed by RNA polymerase I as part of the 45S precursor that also contains 18S and 28S rRNA. Functionally, it is thought that 5.8S rRNA may be involved in ribosome translocation.
Source: RNAcentral